Molecule: non-coding RNA, 245 nt
Organism: Pelobates cultripes (western spadefoot toad)
Lineage: Eukaryota; Metazoa; Chordata; Amphibia; Anura; Pelobatidae
Source: the annotation of a GenBank genome assembly
GUGGUUGCCUGUGUCAGAAUCAGGAUCUGGAAUUGAAGAGAAAACUUGGGCAUGGAUUUUGUUCAAAGCAUUUGCGAGUUCAGUUACAUAAUCUACUAAAACAUCAGUUUGAAGUUGCAGUUGUUGGGGAAAAUAGCAACCUAGCCUAGGUGUAGUCCCAAAUAGAAUCUCGUAUGGGGACAAUGAGGUAGUAUUUUUGUACAAGAGCAUUCAUUAGAUCUUUUGAUAAAUGUGCAGGUCUGUGU